RNAcentral lists this long non-coding RNA (303 nucleotides) under Elaeis guineensis (African oil palm). Its description in RNAcentral is "long non-coding RNA (EGUI_LNC055292)". The record is from RNAcentral. Lineage: Eukaryota; Viridiplantae; Streptophyta; Magnoliopsida; Arecales; Arecaceae.
UUAAUCAUUUGCCAUUCUUUUGGAUUGAGUUGAUCAAUUUUAGAUUAACCCUAAUCCAAUUAGGUUAGCAUAGAUUCGGUCAACCAUGACUCAAACUCUAAUCGAAUUAGAAAAAUGAUAAUUUAAUCAACCUAAAUUAAACAUAACUUCUAAUCAAAUUAGAACUAUGAAUUUGAUUUAAUCUACAAUCAUAAAUUCUAAUCACAUUAGAUUAAUAAAUUAUAGUUAAAUCAAAACCAUCGACAAAAAUCCUAAUCUAUGUUGAGGCAACCUUUUCAUGAUCAAAUUUUUUUGGCUCCACAC